CCCUUAGAUGUUCUGGGCCGCACGCGCACUACACUGACGGAUUCAACGAGCUUACAACCUUGGCCGAAAGGUCUGGGUAAUCUCCAAAAUCCGUCGUGAUGGGGAUAGAUUAUUGCAAUUAUUAAUCUUCAACGAGGAAUGCCUAGUAAGCGCAAGUCAUCAGCUUGCGUUGAUUACGUCCCUGCCCUUUGUACACACCGCCCGUCGCUCCUACCGAUUGAAUGGUCCGGUGAAGCGUUUGGACUAUGGUUUUCUGAUGGUCCGCCGUUGGAUUACCGUGGGAAGUUCGUUAAACCUUAUCAUUUAGAGGAAGGAGAAGUCGUAACA
This 327-nucleotide ribosomal RNA is filed under the name uncultured eukaryote. Its description in RNAcentral is "partial 18S ribosomal RNA". It matches the Rfam family "Eukaryotic small subunit ribosomal RNA", at positions 1470 to 1796 of the family's 1831-position model. The record is from RNAcentral.